Long non-coding RNA from Homo sapiens (human), 564 nucleotides. RefSeq lists it as uncharacterized. NCBI's taxonomy places the organism in Eukaryota, Metazoa, Chordata, Mammalia, Primates, Hominidae. The record is from RefSeq and is a predicted model, not a curated record. The transcript has 3 exons.
GCAAUAUGAUAAAAUUGAAAAAUUUCACAAAUGUCAGGAGAACAAGAUCUGGUGUCUGGGUUUCAACUCUUAGAGCUUCCCAGCUCGUAGCUAUGCUCCUGAAUUCCUCUGGCAGCCCUCCUCAAGGACCUCUGUGAGACAAAGUCAGAAAUGACUUCACUGGAGACCAAGAGAGCCCACAGAGCUCUUCCUGCUGCUUCUUCUACCCUUGUACUCACUCGGCUCUCUAAAUUUGUCUCAGCUCCAGACACGUGGGAAGAUUACCUUUCUCUGAUGUCUUGGGAUUGAACUGAGCUAUGUGGCUAGUUACAGGCCAAUAGGCUGUUAGCAGAUGUGACAUCUAACACAACUAGGCUGCAGUUUGAAAUAAAUACCAGUGCACAGCCUCCAGAAUUCCUCCCCUGCUAAGGUGACUGAGAAGACCUCAGCUGAGAUGGUGGGAAAAAAAAAUAUUCAAGCAGCUUGGAUAACGAAGUUCCUAAAUGGAAGAACAUUGUCCCAGAGAGUCACUUGAACCCAGAAUAGAUUUACGUGAUCAGACAAUAAACCUCUAUGACACCCUGA